AAAACGACUCUCGGCAACGGAUAUCUCGGCUCAUGCAUCGAUGAAGAACGUAGCGAAAUGCGAUACUUGGUGUGAAUUGCAGAAUCCCGUGAACCAUCGAGUCUUUGAACGCAAGUUGCGCCCGAAGCCAUUUGGCCGAGGGCACGUCUGCCUGGGCGUCACGC
RNAcentral lists this ribosomal RNA (164 nucleotides) under Goodenia janamba. RNAcentral's name for it is "5.8S ribosomal RNA". It matches the Rfam family "5.8S ribosomal RNA". Rfam says of the family: 5.8S ribosomal RNA (5.8S rRNA) is a component of the large subunit of the eukaryotic ribosome. It is transcribed by RNA polymerase I as part of the 45S precursor that also contains 18S and 28S rRNA. The record is from RNAcentral. Lineage: Eukaryota; Viridiplantae; Streptophyta; Magnoliopsida; Asterales; Goodeniaceae.